This 63-nucleotide transfer RNA is filed under the name Urochelellus acutihumeralis. Its description in RNAcentral is "tRNA-His". Lineage: Eukaryota; Metazoa; Arthropoda; Insecta; Hemiptera; Urostylididae. The record is from RNAcentral.
GUUUGAUUAGUUUAAUAAGAAUAAUAAUUUGUGGAAUUAUAGGUGUACAAUUGUAUUUAAACC